AACGCGAAGAACCUUACCUGGGUUUGACAUGCACAGGACGCAUCCAGAGAUGGGUGUUCCCUUGUGGCCUGUGUGCAGGUGGUGCAUGGCUGUCGUCAGCUCGUGUCGUGAGAUGUUGGGUUAAGUCCCGCAACGAGCGCAACCCUUGUCUCAUGUUGCCAGCACGUAAUGGUGGGGACUCGUGAGAGACUGCCGGGGUCAACUCGGAGGAAGGUGGGGAUGACGUCAAGUCAUCAUGCCCCUUAUGUCCAGGGCUUCACACAUGCUACAAUGGCCGGUACAAAGGGCUGCGAUGCCGUGAGGCUUAGCGAAUCCUUUUAAAGCCGGUCUCAGUUCGGAUCGGGGUCUGCAACUCGACCCCGUGAAGUCGGAGUCGCUAGUAAUCGCAGAUCAGCAACGCUGCGGUGAAUACGUUCCCGGGCCUUGUA
This 428-nucleotide ribosomal RNA is filed under the name uncultured Actinomycetes bacterium. RNAcentral describes it as "bacterial SSU rRNA". It matches the Rfam family "Bacterial small subunit ribosomal RNA", at positions 958 to 1385 of the family's 1533-position model. The record is from RNAcentral. Lineage: Bacteria; Bacillati; Actinomycetota; Actinomycetes.